Molecule: long non-coding RNA, 693 nt
Filed under: Mus musculus (house mouse)
Lineage: Eukaryota; Metazoa; Chordata; Mammalia; Rodentia; Muridae
Description: predicted gene, 49987
Source: RNAcentral
GGAAGCGGAAGUCCGGAUUUCCGGCCGGCGCUUGAAGGUGCGGAUUCCGGGCUUCCGGGUGGGCGUGGGGGCCGGACGAGCUAGGGGUCGGCGGCGUGGCAAGAGGACAGGGCUAUGGAGAAGCUGCGGCGCGUCUUGAGCGGCCAGGACGACGAGGAGCAAGGCCUGACGGCGCAGGAUGGCCCAGAUCUUGAGAGACCAUUUUAAAACGCCAAAGAAACACAGGGGGUGUCACACCCAAGUGGAGGACAAAGAGAAGGCAGCACAGCAGACCUUGCCGGAACAGUCGCAGCCCGAAGCUUGGUCAGCAUCCCCGCCCAAGGCUUCAACCAGGUUCCCUUCCAGGUCCAACGCCUACCUGAUUAUAGGGUUGCAAAACGAGCUGACCAAAUGUGGGAUCUUGAAGAACAUGAGCGACGACGAGGAUUUCUGGAAACUGGUUCAGGAGGAAGCUCUUGGAGUGGGAACUAAAGAAAAGCUCCAGAAGAUAAAACUUAAGUUGAUGAAUCCCAGGCCCUGGCCACCAGCUGCUUCCAGGAGAAGGGAGACCGAGAUGCUGGUCAGCAGUGAUCAAGACAGUGGGGCACGCCAGGGAACACAGGACCAUCCAGGGAGAGAACAGGAAGUUGUGGAGGAUGGCCCGGAGAAGGAGAGGAUAAAACAGGGCCCGCACCAACCUGGCUUGGAUCCACC